RNAcentral lists this unclassified non-coding RNA (353 nucleotides) under Hevea brasiliensis (rubber tree). The record is from RNAcentral. Lineage: Eukaryota; Viridiplantae; Streptophyta; Magnoliopsida; Malpighiales; Euphorbiaceae.
CCGGGAAAGUUUUGGCUACCAGGUUUGAACCCUAAAUUAUAUGUUAAUUUUAUUCUACUUCUUUUCUCGAUAGCACAACUUGGUGACUGUUUCUUGGUUUUGCGCUCAUAUUUAUGUGAAUGUAGGCUUGGGAAAUGUAUUAUAGGGUUUUGUAUGGUUUUGCUUUUCGAUUUUGUUUUGAUAUUGAGGUUUGUUCUGCCAAAUGUUUUUUGUUUGAUUUCUGAUAUUGAGUUUAAUGAUGGUUGGAAUAUGGGAAGUUGCGUCUUAAUUGAGUUAUGUUUAGAAUCUUAAGAAAAUAGCUUCACGAUGACUCACCUCUCCUUUCUUUAUUAUUAUUAUUAUUUUUAAUUACA